Molecule: long non-coding RNA, 2544 nt
Organism: Gopherus flavomarginatus (Mexican gopher tortoise)
Lineage: Eukaryota; Metazoa; Chordata; Testudines; Testudinidae
Exons: 2
Source: RefSeq, a predicted model, not a curated record
GACAACUGGAACAGAUAACUUAACACAAAACCUUCCUUCAGUCAUCUAUUUUCAUCUAGAAAAACCCUUUGGACAUUGUCAAGUAACAUUUUAUAGGCUCAUUCUUCAUCUCCUCUCAGAGACCUAAAUGUAAAAGUUUCACCUCCUUCCCCAGCAAAUUCUGUCCUCUCCCUAUUUAAGAAAUAGGGAUUUUUCCAUUGAGUAAUUAAAAGGUUAAUUGGCCAGCACCAGCCUGUGUCUCAUUGGUAUUAUCCGUGCCAACCCCAGCUCCAGAAGUUAUCAGGUGCAGCACCACCACCGGAGGAAGCACAAUAUUUUAAGGAAACUGAGGCGAUUUCCCUCAGUUAGAGUGUACCCUAAAUGAAGGAAGUUGCAUUCUUGGCUGAGCUCCCUAUGCCUGUAGGGUCAAACAUGUUGUCCAGGGUAUCUCUCGUCAAUUUACUCCCCCUUUCCCCCCUCCCGUGAAAGGUCCUUAUGCAUGAGAUGAUUCAAUUCAAAAUCCUCUGCAAGGACACCGGGUGACCCUUCGUCCGAUCCACUGUAGCAACUGAAGAGUUAGGUCGAUAUUUGGAAAGGCUUGGUACGUUCUAAGUAGAAAGCCAAAGCUCUCCAGAUGAGCAGGGUAUGAAGAUGCCUCUCCUCACUGGUCUUGUGCGGUUUGGGACAGGAUAAGGAAGAUGUCCUGGUCAUAUGGAACGUGGAGACCACCUUUGGCAGGAAGGCUGGGUGAGGCUGCAACUGAAACUUAUCUUUGUAGAACACCAUGUACAGAGGUUCUGAGAUCAAGACAUUAAUUUCAGAGACCUGUCUCGCCGAUGUCACUGCCACCAGAAACGUGACCUUCCAUGACAGGUGGAAGAGGGAGCAGGAACCCAGUGGCUCAAAGGAUGGGCUGGUGAGCCUAGAGAGGACCAAGUUAAGAUCCCACUGCAGGACAGGAGUCUGUACCUGCAGGAAGAGUGUCGACCCCUCAAGAAUCUGACUAUCAUGUCGUGGGGAAAAACACCAUCUGUCCUUAGAUCAGCAGGUGAAAAGCAGAAUGGCCACUAGAUGAACUCUAAUGGAAGAGUGUGCCAGGCCCUGGUUCCUCAAAGGGAGCAGGUAGUCCCGGGCAGCCUGUAUGGAAGAAUGCAAGGGACAGAUGCCAUGCUUGGAUGCCCAGUGGGAAAACCCUGUCCACUUGGCCAGGUAUGUCAGUCUGGUUAAGGUCUUCCUACUCCCCAGGAGGACCUGUUAGGCUCUUUCCGAACAAGUCCGUUCCUCCAGGUUCAGCCAUGCAGCAUCCACACCAAGAGGUGGAGGGGCUUGAGAUGGGAGGUAGGAGCCGGCCACAGUCCUGUGAUAGCAAAUCUGGGCGGUUGGGCAGGGGCCGCUGACAAGCCCAUAAGCGUGCCAAACCAAUGUUGGUGAGGCCACGCCAGGGCGAUCACGACAAUCUUCACUUUGUCUCUCUUGAUCUUGGCCAGGUCCUGCCGAUAAGUGGAAUCGGAUAGAACGUGUACAUCAGGCUCCCUGACCAUGAGAGGAGGAAGGCAUGGGAGAGGAGAUCUUGCUGAGAGCACAAUCAGUGGCAUUUCCUAUUCUGUCUGGUAGCGAACAAAUCCGCUUGGGGAGUUCCCCACCUUUGAAAGAUGAUGCAUGCUACCUCUGAAUGGAAUGACCACUCAUGGUAAGAGGAGAAGUCCAUGCUGAGCUGGUCUGCCAGCAUAUUCUUGACACUGGGAAGGUGGCAAGCUUCUAGGUGGAUUUUGUGGCUGAUGCAGAAGUCCCAUAGACGGACUGCCUCUUGACAGAGAGUCAACGAGCACGCUCCACCUUGCCUGUUGAUGUAGAGCAUCGAGGCUGUGUUGUCUGUCAGGACUCUUUCCACCUUGCCCAACAGGUGCGGCAGGAAGACUCUGCAUGCCAGCUGGACUGCUUGGAGCUCUGGGUAGCAGAGUCAGGCAAGUGAUGGGUUGGCCUGCCCUGGAUGGUAAGUGGGGGGUCAUGGCCCACCAAGGCCCACCCAUGGCUAUGCCCUUGGCACAGUGUCUCUUUUCUGAUUAAAAAAAAAAAAAAAAAAAAAAAAAAAAGAUGUUGCCAUCCCAGCUCUUCAUUCAUGGCCUGCCAUACCAUUUCCACACCCAGAUGUGACCCUCAGACCAAAAAGUUUGCCCAUCCCAGCUUAAAGCAUAGAGCAUGCCCUGACCCCCAACUGGGUCCCGUUCAGGACUAAUAAAAAGUUUGAGAACUACUACUAUGGGUAACUAAGAAAACUACUAACUACAUAUAACUAUUUUACAGAAUUUCAAAGUUCGCAACAGAGAAGGAAUCAAUGCUAGCUGAAGCAGCAGAGGUUCCAGCACUGUCACUGGCAGCAAAAAGGAAGUGAAGGGGUUGGGGGAGGGGAGAAGCUGGCAGCAUCCUUUAUACCAUGCCAUGUGGGCACUACUCCAGAGGGUCCCAGAGCUGAUCCCCUACUGAUGCUGCUGAGGAAAACACUUCCACCACGGGUGCAUGUGGUAAGCGCACACACCUAAUAUGGAAUGGACAUGAGCAAGCACU